This 1389-nucleotide long non-coding RNA is filed under the name Coturnix japonica (Japanese quail). RNAcentral describes it as "lncRNA (ENSCJPG00005017725.1)". Lineage: Eukaryota; Metazoa; Chordata; Aves; Galliformes; Phasianidae. The record is from RNAcentral.
AUGUGUAUCCAUCCCUGCACCUGGAAUACACACAGCGACCAGCCAUCAAAGGGCCUGCAGAGGAAGGCUGCUACAGAAGGAAAAUCUCUGGGAAGUUUAUUUUCUAGUGUGUGGCUAAAAACAGGGAUGUACAGAGGCCCCAGGGCAAAGAGGGGAAACUGCUGCUACAGUGGGCAAGCAGGCUCAGUUCCAUUGUACACACAGGCAGGCAGAGCACCACUUCCUGAGGAAGGUGUGCCUUCCUCUUCCAUCAACACCUGCUUGCUAUGGGGCCUCCAUUCCAGGCUGACCCCAGGCAGUGCAGUGAGUCUGGAGCAGGGAGCUGUGCUCUCCCAAUGCGUGUCAUUCACUACCAGGAUCCUCUGCGUGAGCACCAAGAGGAAAUGCUCUCCUGACAAGGCUCCCUUGGCAGAGGGAUUUCCCCACAGGCCCUGUGCCGUGUCAUUCCCCAUUUGCUGUCCUAUGGCCAUGAAUUUUGUAGGAAGAAGUUACACACAUGGAUCAUUCAGAGGCACUGCCCAUCAGCAAAUAAAGGAAAAGCAAACAGGCCCUAGGGGCUCAGUCUUGUCCUGUCAGCUGGUAGCUGUUACUGGGAGCUCUCCAGCCCCAGCCCAGGCACUGCCAAAAGGGUUUUACUCGAGUUGCACUGAGCUGAUGGAGGACGAAGGGCUGUGGUGUAGAGCUCUGCGGGCUGUGAUUGAUGAACGCUCAGAUCCAGCCCUCUCCUCCCUACCAGCUCCGCUCCCCAAGAGGCCUGCAGCACACUCAAUGCACGGCCAGCAUUCAGUCCACAGAAAUGACUGCUUGAACUCCAGUCUGGAAACAGGGGUAGUCCUUCGUGAUCUGCAGCAUCACACAGUGCCCCACCAGCCACGUGGCCAUCAGCUAUCCUGGCAGUGCUGGCCCUUUGUGCUGCCCGUCUGCUCUCUGCCUUUGUUUCUCCUGGGCUGUAGCAGCCUACAGCCCAAGCGGAUCUGUGGGCAGCCAUUCCAUUGGGCACACCAUGUGGCACAUGGCAGGACAGAAUGGCAGCCUGGGUUCCUUCCAGCUGCCACCAGCCAGCUCUCAGCAGCAGCUCAGCAGCUUCCAUUCCCUUUUUCUUUCCCUGUCUUUUUUCCUGAACAAAUUCCCUUUUGUGCCCAGACCUCCCUGCAGACAGGUCCACAGGGCUGGCAUGAUGCAUUGUGCAGGGAUUCCAGAGGUGAGUCCUGGCUGCAGCAGUGGAGCUUCAGUUGCCCUGCUGGUGCCCAGCAAGCCAGGCUCCUCUGGUCAGUGCUGAUGGGGUUCCCAAUUCAGGCAUGGUCCCAUGCUGCAGCCACUCGGGGGGGACUGGGUCUGAAGGUUUGCAGUGCUCUUGCUAUUGGUGCAGAGGGCAUUUGGCUUUAUUAG